GGUGUUGUUUUACAGGGUCAGUCAUAGUAGUAUGAUAGGUGUUGUUUUACAGGGUCAGUCAUAGUAGUAUGAUAGGUGUUGUUUUACAGGGUCAGUCAUAGUAGUAUGAUAUGUGUUGUUUUACAGGGUCAGCCAUAGUAGUAUGAUAGGUGUUGUUUUACAGGGUCAGCCAUAGUAGUAUGAUAGGUGUUGUUUUACAGGGUCAGCCAUAGUAGUAUGAUAGGUGUUGUUUUACAGGGUCAGUCAUAGUAGUAUGAUAGGUGUUGUUUUACAGGGUCAGCCAUAGUAGUAUGAUAGGUGCAGUGAAAUGUGUUGUUUUACAGGGUCAGCCAUAGUAGUAUGAUAGGUGUUGUUUUACAGGGUCAGACAUAGUAGUAUGAUAGGUGUUGUUUUACAGGGUCAGCCAUAGUAGUAUGAUAGGUGUUGUUUUACAGGGUCAGCUAUAGUAGUAUGAUAGGUGCAGUGAAAUGUGUUGUUUUACAGGGUCAGCUAUAGUAGUAUGAUAGGUGUUGUUUUACAGGGUCAGCUAUAGUAGUAUGAUAGGUGUUGUUUUACAGGGUCAGUCAUAGUAGUAUUAUAGGUGUUGUUUUACAGGGUCAGCUAUAGUAGUAUGAUAGGUGCAGUGAAAUGUGUUGUUUUACAGGGUCAGCUAUAGUAGUAUGAUAGGUGUUGUUUUACAGGGUCAGCCAUAGUAGUAUGAUAGGUGUUGUUUUACAGGGUCAGCUAUAGUAGUAUGAUAGGUGUUGUUUUACAGGGUCAGCUAUAGUAGUAUGAUAGGUGUUGUUUUACAGGGUCAGCCAUAGUAGUAUGAUAGGUGUUGUUUUACAGGGUCAGCCAUAGUAGUAUGAUAGGUGCAGUGAAAUGUGUUGUUUUACAGGGUCAGACAUAGUAGUAUGAUAGGUGUUGUUUUACAGGGUCAGACAUAGUAGUAUGAUAGGUGUUGUUUUACAGGGUCAGCCAUAGUAGUAUGAUAGGUGUUGUUUUACAGGGUCAGCCAUAGUAGUAUGAUAGGUGUUGUUUUACAGGGUCAGUCAUAGUAGUAUGAUAGGUGUUGUUUUACAGGGUCAGCCAUAGUAGUAUGAUAGGUGUUGUUUUACAGGGUCAGCCAUAGUAGUAUGAUAGGUGUUGUUUUACAGGGUCAGUCAUAGUAGUAUGAUAGGUGUUGUUUUACAGGGUCAGCCAUAGUAGUAUGAUAGGUGUUGUUUUACAGGGUCAGCCAUAGUAGUAUGAUAGGUGUUGUUUUACAGGGUCAGCCAUAGUAGUAUGAUAGGUGUUGUUUUACAGGGUCAGCCAUAGUAGUAUGAUAGGUGUUGUUUUACAGGGUCAGCCAUAGUAGUAUGAUAGGUGUUGUUUUACAGGGUCAGCCAUAGUAGUAUGAUAGGUGUUGUUUUACAGGGUCAGUCAUAGUAGUAUGAUAGGUGUUGUUUUACAGGGUCAGCCAUAGUAGUAUGAUAGGUGUUGUUUUACAGGGUCAGCCAUAGUAGUAUGAUAGGUGUUGUUUUACAGGGUCAGACAUAGUAGUAUGAUAGGUGUUGUUUUACAGGGUCAGCCAUAGUAGUAUGAUAGGUGUUGUUUUACAGGGUCAGCGAUAGUAGUAUGAUAGGUGUUGUUUUACAGGGUCAGCCAUAGUAGUAUGAUAGGUGUUGUUUUACAGGGUCAGUCAUAGUAGUAUGAUAGGUGUUGUUUUACAGGGUCAGUCAUAGU
Oncorhynchus keta (chum salmon) is the source of this 1704-nucleotide long non-coding RNA. RefSeq lists it as uncharacterized. The transcript is spliced from 15 exons. Lineage: Eukaryota; Metazoa; Chordata; Actinopteri; Salmoniformes; Salmonidae. The record is from RefSeq and is a predicted model, not a curated record.